Bradysia coprophila is the source of this 330-nucleotide long non-coding RNA. Lineage: Eukaryota; Metazoa; Arthropoda; Insecta; Diptera; Sciaridae. The record is from RefSeq and is a predicted model, not a curated record.
AAUUGAUUGAUUUGAUUAUAAACUCAGCGAAAAUAAGUAAACGGGGCAAUUUAAUACGAAUUGUACCGAAAUCAGAAAGUCUCUCGAACAUGAUCUCUCACACAAAUUGAAUAUUAUUGCUCCGUUUACUUAUUUUCGGUGAGUUAAUAAUCAAAUCAAUCAAUUUAGACGAGUCUGGCUUCAUUGCAUAUUGUUUUACUGGAAAACCGGAAUAUUCGGUUUGGUCUAAACCGAACCGAAGUUUAUGGUUCGGUUCAAACCGAACCGAAAAUUCCGGUUUUUGGGAUAACCGGCUCAUCUCUGUCCUCCUGAGAUUUUGUAGAUUAGGUU